This 3366-nucleotide long non-coding RNA is filed under the name Sus scrofa (pig). RNAcentral describes it as "lncRNA (ENSSSCG00065009733.1, ENSSSCG00110029434.1, ENSSSCG00175036985.1)". Lineage: Eukaryota; Metazoa; Chordata; Mammalia; Artiodactyla; Suidae. The record is from RNAcentral.
CAAUGUGUGAAAGCACCAUCAUGUAGCCCCUGAUCUGGAUCUCGUCCACCAGGCUCUGCCCUUGGAAACUAAGAAAGAGAAGGGCGUGCUUUGUGAAUGAGUUUGCCCUGUAGCAGAAAGAACCAAAGAAAAACCUGGCCUUCUUCCCUGAGCACUUCCACAAAGACACACAACAUGCAGUGAAGGGUGCCGACAGGGGAAAUCUUUCCAAGUUAGGCUCCAGGGAAAGGUCUGCUUUGCCUUCCUUGGAAACUCACAAAGAUACCAGUGUGGAGAUUAAGGAUUGCCAAAUUUCCCUUCAACGGGGAACAGGCCAAGUGGCUCAGACAUCCCUCGUCACUCGUGGGUCAUCGGAAAAAAAAAAAAAAUAAAAACAACUGUGCUGGGGAGUUAAUGGAAAAAAAACUUGGGUAGUUUCUCAUUUCAGGAGAGCUCUAGCAUUCAGAUAGGUUUCAACUUUCCUCUAAAAUUCUGAACAGAAAGAAUCUUACUUAAGAAUUUUCCAUCGUGAAAAAAGACAAAACUUAACUCAAAUCACCAGUGAAAUCUCAAAUGCCAAAAACAACAACCUGCGGUUCUUUCGGUCUUAGGUGAAGUGUUUCUGACAUGAAUUUUCACUUGGCAUUUUCCUUCUUUCUUUAUGAUUGAAAAAAGCAUAUGUUUUCCUUUUUGAUAAAAUGUGCGUCUUCGGACAAAAAUAUCUGCGACCUGCUGGAUGGUGGUGCUUGAUAAUUGAUUAAUGACAGAUAGCAAUGAUACCUUUGAUUUAACUUGGUAAUUAAAGUUCUGUGCACUUUGAACAUCCGAUGCAGUUGAAUCUGCUUAUAAGAUUAAGCAGAUAGAAGAGGGGUUAAGGUAGAAGAGGAGGCUCAGGAAUAGAUAAAAGCAAAUUCCUUGUCUCUCCACAAUGCAGUUGGGUAGGGACAAACAUUGGAUUAUGGGAAUUGAAGGAGCUGAUGCACUUGGCUGUGAAAUUAAAUAACUGCAGAUGUGAAUGUUCUGUCACUUGUGCUGUCCCUUUAAUUGAGACUAUCUACGUCUAGAGCCUUCUCACUAGUGCAGAGGCAUCCAGAAAGAAAUGUUCAGAGUUAGCUGUACGAAUGCUGUAUCACUGGUUGUAAAACAAAAAUAUUAUACAUGACUUUUUAAUAUCUCCUAAGAGGGACAUAAUAAGGAAAAUAUAUUUGCUUUCCAAGAAAACAGAUCAAAUAAGGUAAAUGAUUCACUAUGUAAGAAAAAAAUUUCAUUAAUAUUCUUCAUAAAAUUGUUUCAUAAAAAGCUUACAUAUGAAAAUAAUUUUUCACUUAAGUAGAUUUACUCUUUGAUGUUAAUAGACUUAGCUGCUCAAAUUAAUUUUAAAAACAAAAUUUUUAAUUGCGAAAAACAACAUAACACAUUGGCUUUGUUAUAAUCUAGGAAAUUAUUUUUUAAUAUUUCUUUGUACUAUUGAGCAAUUGAAAAUCUGUGAAGUAAUGCAUUCUUCCAUGGGAAGCAACCACUAAGGUGGUUCUGAAACCUUAAUUUUUAUAUUAAACAAAAGCAUUAGGCUUUAGAGUUUACUGAGGCAACAAAAUGAAAUACACAACUGCCUUGAAAUAUUAUGCACAAGUAAUAAAACAUUUAUACCUGUUUUAUAUAAAAAUGUAGAUUUUAAUCCAUUACAGUUGAGGUGUGAAUAGUCCAAAUUAAUGCAGGUGAAUAAAUACUUCUGCUGAGUGCUCUCCGGUGAAUUGCAGUCAAAAUUAAGACAUACAAUUUAACAAGAUAAAGUCACCUUUAACUUAUUCUUUGUUAAUGUUAAACAAGGGGAAUUAAAUGUCUUUAUUAAGAUUAGGCUUUAUGAAUUAAAACAUUCCAUAUGCAGUGUAUGUCAGUCCUUACCAGCUUCCUUGGUGUUAACACACGUUAUGAAAUUUACCUGUAAGAGUUCCAUUAAAUAAUCCUAGAAUUUCAUAGCAUUGUCUCCAUGUAUGGAAAAACUCCUUGCUAACUCCCCAAAUUGCAAACAUAUCUAAAAUGAAGAUGGCAUCAAAUGGCUCAUGAUUAGGUUGUUGUUUUCGAUCUGACAUUUUAAAAUGGACUUUGAUCACCUGCAGACAUCCUUUUCUAAAUUAAGAUUGCAGGAGAGUACAAACUAUUUGACUUACUAAAUGGAAUUCAAUAUAAUGAAACUGAAGAACUUAAGGUGAUAAAGCAAUGAUGUUAGGUUUGAGUAAAAAUAAUUCAGUGAAAAUAAAAAGAGUAGAACAUCAACCACAUCAGCACUUUCCAAGGCACAGUGUAAGUAAGUCAGGUUGGUGUAAAGAUACAUUAUAACCCAUUCUAAGAUGUCUCUUUGGCAGCUGGACACUGUCACAAGCUGAUGUUAAGUUGUUUUAUCUGUGAAGUUUCCAAAAUGGUUUAUAUAAAACCUAUAAAAAUAUAACCCUAUUUUCUUUCGGGUUUUUCUAUGAUAAAAAAAAUAUACUUUUAACUUUUUCUAGAAAAUGGGGAUAAUGCGUUGCAAUGUAGACCCAAUCUUCACCACGAUGACAGGCCAUUUGUUGGCACAUCAAUGAACAAAAUGCAUUGCACUUAAAAUUGAGUGCUCAGAGACAUGUGUGGAUGAACAAGGAGACCAUAGGAUAGGUUAUGAUCCAUAUUUGGGAAAUUUUAGACAUUAUCUAUGCAAAUAUUUACAUUUCAAAUAAUAAGUGUUUACCUAUAAUAUAUAAUUGUGUUAGCUUACUGAAGGAAGAUUAUGAUGUUGAGUAGAGCUAUAUUUGUGUUAUAUAUUUUAGCUGAUUUUAACAAACAUAAGCAGAAUGGGAAAUUGCUGUAGAUAAUCACCAAAUCUCAUGUAAAGGCCUAUUUUCAAAUUUCUUUAAAAUCCUACUUGAUACAACUGGAAAAGAACUGGAUUGGGAGCCAAAAGACAGGGCUGAACUUGGACAAGGCAUUUCACCUUCUUAAUGUCUGGUUCUCAUUGUACUUUUCCGCGUAUAAAACACCAGGCUAAAUGUCUAUAACAUCUAUCUGAAUUUAUCUUCGAAUUUCAUAUCCAUUUAUUUUCCCUGACAGGACUUCUGAUAGUCAAAUGGCUGAAAUGGCCAAACGAAGAGAGAAAGAGAAAAAUGUAAAAAGAAAAGAAAAUCAUGGACUUGGAGAAGAGACUUGUGGCUGCCUGAUGGGAGGGGGAGGGAGUGGGAGGGAUCGGGAGCUUGGGCUUAUCAGACACAACUUAGAAUAGAUUUACAAGGAGAUCCUGCUGAAAAGCAUUGAGAACUAUGUCUAGAUACUCAUGUUGCAACAGAAGAAAGGGUGGGGGAAAAACUGUAAUUGCAAUGUAUACAUGUAAGGAUAACCUGACCCCCUUGCUGUACAGUG